UAGCCAUGAUGAACAUUUCCAUUAUUCGCAGUUUCCACCAGAGAGGAAACUCGUUCCUCUGAGACGGCAAUAACCUUCCUUGGAUGUCUGAGCUA
This 95-nucleotide small nucleolar RNA is filed under the name Gigantopelta aegis. Its description in RNAcentral is "small nucleolar RNA SNORD14". It matches the Rfam family "Small nucleolar RNA SNORD14". From Rfam's summary of the family: U14 small nucleolar RNA (U14 snoRNA) is required for early cleavages of eukaryotic precursor rRNAs. The record is from RNAcentral. Lineage: Eukaryota; Metazoa; Mollusca; Gastropoda; Neomphalida; Peltospiridae.